AACGAACGCUGGCGGCAUGCCUAACACAUGCAAGUCGAACGAAGCCUUCGGGCUUAGUGGCGCACGGGUGCGUAACGCGUGGGAAUCUGCCCUUGGUUCGGAAUAACAGUUAGAAAUGACUGCUAAUACCGAAUGAUGUCUUCGGACCAAAGAUUUAUCGCCCAAGGAUGAGCCCGCGUCGGAUUAGCUAGUUGGUGAGGUAAAGGCUCACCAAGGCGACGAUCCGUAGCUGGUCUGAGAGGAUGACCAGCCACACUGGGACUGAGACACGGCCCAGACUCCUACGGGAGGCAGCAGUGGGGAAUAUUGCGCAAUGGGCGAAAGCCUGACGCAGCGACGCCGCGUGGGUGAUGAAGGCCU
Molecule: ribosomal RNA, 360 nt
Filed under: uncultured bacterium
Lineage: Bacteria
Description: bacterial SSU rRNA
Rfam family: Bacterial small subunit ribosomal RNA
Source: RNAcentral